GGUCUAUUAGCUCAGUUGGUUAGAGUGUUGUGCUAAUAAUGCGAAAUUCACAGGUUCAAGUCAUGUAUAGGCCA
Non-coding RNA from Glycine soja, 74 nucleotides. The record is from Rfam. NCBI's taxonomy places the organism in Eukaryota, Viridiplantae, Streptophyta, Magnoliopsida, Fabales, Fabaceae.